ACCCGCUGAACUUAAGCAUAUCAAUAAGCGGAGGAAAAGAAACCAACAGGGAUUGCCUCAGUAACGGCGAGUGAAGCGGCAACAGCUCAAAUUUGAAAUCUGGCCCUUUCAGGGUCCGAGUUGUAAUUUGUAGAGGAUGCUUCGGGUACGGCUCCGGUCUAAGUUCCUUGGAACAGGACGUCAUAGAGGGUGAGAAUCCCGUAUGUGACUGGCCGCCACGCCCGUGUGAAGCUCCUUCGACGAGUCGAGUUGUUUGGGAAUGCAGCUCAAAAUGGGUGGUAAAUUUCAUCUAAAGCUAAAUAUUGGCCAGAGACCGAUAGCGCACAAGUAGAGUGAUCGAAAGAUGAAAAGCACUUUGGAAAGAGAGUUAAACAGUACGUGAAAUUGUUGAAAGGGAAGCGCUUGCAAUCAGACUUGCCCGCGGGUGAUCAGCCGGUAUUCUUACCGGUGCACUCGCCCGUGGUCAGGCCAGCAUCGGUUUGGGCGGUUGGAUAAAGUCCCCCGGAACGUAGCUCCCUUCGGGGAGUGUUAUAGCCGGGGGUGCAAUGCAUCCUGCCCGGACUGAGGACCGCGCUUCGGCUAGGAUGCUGGCGUAAUGGUUGUAAGCGACCCGUCUUGAAACACGGACCA
This 630-nucleotide ribosomal RNA is filed under the name Acarospora sp. RNAcentral's name for it is "partial large subunit ribosomal RNA". It matches the Rfam family "Eukaryotic large subunit ribosomal RNA", at positions 23 to 668 of the family's 3401-position model. The record is from RNAcentral. Lineage: Eukaryota; Fungi; Ascomycota; Lecanoromycetes; Acarosporales; Acarosporaceae.